AAAAAAUAUACACGUCUUAUUUGUUAUCUGGAAAUUUCACAAUAACUUAGGGACGAUAUUUUUAUAAGAAAUUUCCUGUUAGUCUGCAGUCAAUCAACUGUACAUCAAGUUUCUCCUUUAAAAAGGGAUGCUAUGUACCAAAGCUAAAAAUCCACCAAGCAACAUAUAUAAGAAAUUUUACAGCGUUGCUAAUAACUCAGAUAGGCCAGAAUUAGUGUGUUCAUAAUUAAAAAAGAUGGGAAUAAAGUUAUGGGUAAUGUUAGUGAUGAUGGUGCUUUCACUACUAAAUGUGGUCCAUGAGCCACUGCAUUAUUGAGAAAAACUUGUUUGGAAUGUAAAAAAGUUGUGUCAUUUUCUUUCAACAGUCAAUCAACC
This 375-nucleotide long non-coding RNA is filed under the name Olea europaea (common olive). RNAcentral's name for it is "long non-coding RNA (OEUR_LNC002858)". The record is from RNAcentral. Lineage: Eukaryota; Viridiplantae; Streptophyta; Magnoliopsida; Lamiales; Oleaceae.